AUUAUGAUAUGAAAUCAUCGCAUCAUGAUUUGAUUAAAACUUCUGUAAAUGUCUUUGUCGGACAUCCAUGUCUGGAGGAUAUUAUCUGAUGCUGGGAGUGGGCCCCAUGUUAGAUCUUGACCAAUCCUCACCCAAUUUGGUAGUUGGUGGCUAUUUGACAAAUUCUGUGGUUUCCCAAUUAGAUGCUGAAACCUAAUCUAGUCACCAUAGAAAUCAGAAAGCUUGGACAGGUUCCUGGGCCCUUUCUAUCUGCAAGGCUGCUCACUUUUCAUUAUCUUCUAUCAUAUCUAGCUUGGCUUUGGCCUGUUGUUACUUGGGCCUCUCUGGCCUAUCUUAUGUUUUUUUAACUCACUUGAUAGGUAGUAAAGCGUCUAUCUUACUUUCUUUUGUUUUUUGAAAUACCAAAACUAAAGCAUAUUUUGAUUGGAUUCAAACUUGCAUUACACAACUGGUUCCGUUACAUACAUUAUACAUGACAUUACAUCAGCUUUAAAACUACCUAAAUAGUCAAUUCAACAUUUUACGCUGAAACCAUGAAUAAUCAUUGAUUGAUUUUAUUUUAUUUUAUAUAGGCCUCAACAAUUUUGUAAUAUCCGAAUGAAUGGUUCCAUACAAAAAACUAUGGAUGUAUAAGCUUUUGUAUAAAAAAAAUCAUAAUAACAAUAAUAAAUAAAUAAUUCAAAUGCCCUAUUAGGUUACUCUGGACUGACAACCAAUAUUCUUAUUUUGACUUUAUUCCACUGACUAACACAAACUUGUUAAAUAUUGUUGUAUUUUCUUAAUUUUUCUUUUUCUUUUUUCCUGAGCCACACUGUCUAUGAUCUAUAGCAGUGAUGUUAGUUUCUUUAGUUCAUUUAGCUGAAAUGUCCAUUUUAGUUGUUUGCAGGGGAUAGGUAGGAUUUUGAAAGGCAUCUUGUUGGCAAGUAUUAUGUUCCCUAACAUUGAAAAUUCUACCAUUUUCAGCCCUCUUCAGAUAGUUAAGUAGAGCAUAACUUUCCUAUUAUUAGUUUGCCACCUAAUUUACAAGAAAGAACUUGUUGAAGAGUGAACUAAGAAGCCACUUGGAUGUAAAAGUUAGUGGCCUUCUUAGCUCAUUUCAGAAAUUUCAAGUGGGUUUUUAUUUAAUAAGUGCAUGAUGAACCAUUGGUGGCUAUUUGAGCUUGAGCAAAAAAACUGCUCUUUUGGUUUUAUCUAGUUCAUUGUAGUGGUUGAAUAAGUUAUACCCUCUUGAAUGAUUCCCUUCCAUGAUUGUGCUAUGAUUGCAUCUCUAUUUCUGUUAAGAUAUUUUGUUCACCUUUAUAAGGGUUGUUUCUUUAAACUAUUGAUCGAUAUUUUCUCACAUUUUUUUUUGAAAGGUGAUCGAUAUUUUUUUCUUAUUCUUUCCCCAUGCUCUUUAACCCUUUGAAAUUGUCUGAAAUGGUUUGCCAAGCUGCACGAUGUCAUAUGUGCAGGGACUGUUUUCCCAGAGCAAGUGGUCCUAAAGGUAUGAUCUUCAGCCUAUGUUCUAUUGAAUUUGGAUUGUUGUUGUCUCUCUUUUCUUAUGGGUCUUUUUAUCAAAGGAUUAGAUCUUGAGUCUGGGACAUGGUGGGUUCAUUAGGUCAAUGCUAGAUCACAAAUCACAGGAACACUUAGGCAUGGUUUCAAGCAUGGCUCUUUUAUUGGGCCUUUUUUUAUUAGUCAAUGCUAGACUGCUUACUUUUAUUUUGAUGAUAACAUAGUGAAUCACUUGAUGAUGAAACAACAGGUUACGUACAAGCUGUAAUCAGGUUUGAUGGGGUUCUAGAUAUGAUUUAGACUGCUUGCUUUUAUUCUGACAACAACAUAGUGAAUCACAUGAUGCUGAAACAACAAGUUAUGUACAGGCUGUAAUCAGGUUUGAUGGGGUUCCAUAGGAUCCAAUUGUAAUAUUUCUAUAGUGUGAUAAUUUUAUUCGAAUUUGAAAUAGUGGUCUUUAAAUUGUUGAUACCUUGUACUAUUCUUUAAAUUGCAAAACAGUGAAAUGAUGAUUUCUAUUGACAUGAUGGCUGACCCAUCGGAAGUUCCGGUCAUUUGCUAACAAACAUGCCAACCUUGUUUAUAUAGCUACAGAUUUACUCUCAUAUGGCCAACUCCAACAAUGCUCUCAUGCGUUCAGAUUUGAAGAGAUUUAUUGAAGUUGCUCAAGAUGAUGAGGUACUCAUGGUGAUGUGGUGUUGCCAAUCCAAUAAAGUCACAUUCAUCUUGACUCCAGAGAUCAUUCAUCAGAAGGAUACUUUGACAGAAGAUGAGGCAUGAUUUUAUGUUGGGCAAACAGUUAUGGCCUUUGAAUCUAUCCACAAACUCCACAGGAAACAACUAUAGUGGGGCUUUAUAAAGUGAUGGAUGCCCGUCUGCACCAAAGUAAACCCAAUAUCUUUCUAUUAUCUUAAAG
Long non-coding RNA from Magnolia sinica, 2410 nucleotides. RefSeq lists it as uncharacterized. The transcript has 4 exons. The record is from RefSeq and is a predicted model, not a curated record. NCBI's taxonomy places the organism in Eukaryota, Viridiplantae, Streptophyta, Magnoliopsida, Magnoliales, Magnoliaceae.